This 482-nucleotide ribosomal RNA is filed under the name uncultured bacterium. RNAcentral describes it as "partial 16S ribosomal RNA". It matches the Rfam family "Bacterial small subunit ribosomal RNA", at positions 28 to 507 of the family's 1533-position model. The record is from RNAcentral.
GAUGAACGCUAGCGGCAGGCCUAAUACAUGCAAGUCGGACGGGAUUCAGGAGCUUGCUUCUGCUGAGAGUGGCGCACGGGUGCGUAACACGUAUGUAACCUACCUUUAUCAGGGGGAUAGCCUCUCGAAAGAGAGAUUAAGCCCGCAUAAAAUCACAGCACAGCAUUGUGUAAUGAUCAAAUAUUUAUAGGAUAAAGAUGGGCAUGCGGAACAUUAGCUAGAUGGCGGGGUAACGGCCCACCAUGGCGACGAUGUUUAGGGGAUCUGAGAGGAUGGCCCCCCACACUGGUACUGAGACACGGACCAGACUCCUACGGGAGGCAGCAGUAAGGAAUAUUGGUCAAUGGGCGGAAGCCUGAACCAGCCAUGCCGCGUGCAGGAAGACGGCCCUACGGGUUGUAAACUGCUUUUAUACGGGAAUAAACCCAGAUACGUGUAUCUGGCUGAAUGUACUGUAAGAAUAAGGAUCGGCUAACUCCGUG